RNAcentral lists this non-coding RNA (77 nucleotides) under Microcystis aeruginosa PCC 9807. The record is from RNAcentral. Lineage: Bacteria; Bacillati; Cyanobacteriota; Cyanophyceae; Chroococcales; Microcystaceae.
AGGAGCGGAAUGACGAGAAAUUGUCACGUUCCGUUUUGUAGAGCAGUAGGAGAGGCGACUCUCUUACUGACUUUAAU